This is a non-coding RNA of Pelobates cultripes (western spadefoot toad), 208 nucleotides long. The record is from the annotation of a GenBank genome assembly. NCBI's taxonomy places the organism in Eukaryota, Metazoa, Chordata, Amphibia, Anura, Pelobatidae.
CUUGUCUUUGUAUGUAUGUGUUGUGUGUGUAUGUCUUUGUAUGUAUGUGUGUCUUAUGUAUGUGUCUUUGCAUGUGUGUAUGUGUCUAUGUAUGUCGUAGGUGAUUGUAUUUGUAUGUGUGUGUCUGUAUGUAUGUGUACCUGUCUGUUUGUAUGUAUGUGUCUUGUGUCUGUGUGUUUCUGUAUGUAUGUGUGCCUGUCUGUGUCUG